GGAAAAGCCCUAUAUAUCUUAUUAGUCAAGCCUAAAGGCCCUUUACUAAUAUAAUAGAAGGUAAGACCGGCUUUCGCGCAGCAGCUGCGCCCUUGCUUCUUGCCCAUAGAGAGUUAGGAUAUUUUGUGAGCUCCUUCGCCUAGCGGAAACCUCCGCUUUUCGGCCGUAAUCCCGUGCUUUACCAACGCAUUCAAUGGAUUCCACCAUGAACCAUAUCUUAAUAGUCAAGCCUAAAGUCCCUUUACUAUUAUAAUAGAAGGUAAGACUAGCUUUCACGCAGCAGUUGCGCCCUUGCGUCUUGCCCAUAGAGAGUUAGGAUAUUUUGUGAGCUCAUUUGCCUAGCCGAAACUUCUGCUUUUCGGCUGUAAUCGGGUGCUUUACCAACACAUUCAAUGGAUUACACCAUGAACUGGGAGCGGGCGAAGACAUGCAGCUUCCAUUUUGGGGUACACAGUCACGUGUUGAGCAAAGAGGUAUAUAUCACACUCAUUCACAAGC
This 498-nucleotide long non-coding RNA is filed under the name Nicotiana benthamiana. Its description in RNAcentral is "long non-coding RNA (NBEN_LNC042255)". Lineage: Eukaryota; Viridiplantae; Streptophyta; Magnoliopsida; Solanales; Solanaceae. The record is from RNAcentral.